Molecule: long non-coding RNA, 862 nt
Organism: Calidris pugnax (ruff)
Lineage: Eukaryota; Metazoa; Chordata; Aves; Charadriiformes; Scolopacidae
Exons: 2
Source: RefSeq, a predicted model, not a curated record
CCCGUGGGUGCAGGGGACCCCCCCCCGGGGCCGUCACCCCUGGAGCGGGGGCUCCACGCCCUGGUGGGCACCUUCUACCAGUACGCGGGGACCCCGGGGGGGACACGGGAGCCCGUCCUGGACCCCCCCGCCUUCCAGCGCCUGCUGCGCCGCGAGCUGGGCCACCAGCUCACCGACACGGGGCAGCCCGAGGCGGUGGCCGCCAUCUUUGCUCUGCUGGACGCCAACGGGGACCGGGUCAUCUCCUUCGACGAGUACUGGCAGCUGGUGGCCUGGCUCUGCCACGUCCUGCGCCACCGCCACUACGGGGCCGCGCCGGCCCCCCCGCCACCCCCCAUCUGUGGGGACACCGACGGCCACCACCACCCGGACCCCAACCCUGCCCCAGUGUCCCCAGCCCAUGGGGAUGGGCACCAGUGACCCCUGGCCAGGUGGGGACAUCCCCAGGGUGAUGGCCCUUGGUCCCCCACCUCAUGAUGGGGCCAUGGAUGUCCCCAGGAUGAGUGGUCCCCGGUUCCCCACCCCACAGUGGGGACAGGGAUGGGGACAUCCCCAGGGUGAGUGGUCCCUGGUCCCCCACCUCAUGGUGGGGACAGGGACGGGGGCACCCAGAGGGACACAGGGCUGGUGGGUGCCCCAUUUUCUAGUGUUUUCAUCCCAAAUGACCCCUGGCAGUGGGGCAGGGUGGCUGGGGUGGUUCCAGCCCCACAUUCACCAGAGAUGGGGGGAAACGGGCCCCAUGGGGACGUCCCUGUCCCCUUCCUGUCCCCGGGGCGCUGGUGGGAGGAGGAGAAAUGUCUUAAAAACCAGUUGAAUAUAGAAAAUGUACUGGAAUUAUAAUAAAAAAGACCCAAAAAGGGAC